RNAcentral lists this ribosomal RNA (1243 nucleotides) under Aster yellows phytoplasma. RNAcentral's name for it is "bacterial SSU rRNA". It matches the Rfam family "Bacterial small subunit ribosomal RNA", at positions 156 to 1399 of the family's 1533-position model. The record is from RNAcentral. Lineage: Bacteria; Bacillati; Mycoplasmatota; Mollicutes; Acholeplasmatales; Acholeplasmataceae.
ACGACUGCAAAGACUGGAUAGGAGACAAGGAGGCAUCUUCUUGUUUUUAAAAGACCUAGCAAUAGGUAUGCUUAGGGAGGAGCUUGCGUCACAUUAGUUAGUUGGUGGGGUAAAGGCCUACCAAGACUAUGAUGUGUAGCCGGGCUGAGAGGUUGAACGGCCACAUUGGGACUGAGACACGGCCCAAACUCCUACGGGAGGCAGCAGUAGGGAAUUUUCGGCAAUGGAGGAAACUCUGACCGAGCAACGCCGCGUGAACGAUGAAGUAUUCCGGUACGUAAAGUUCUUUUAUUAGGGAAGAAUAAAUGAUGGAAAAAUCAUUCUGACGGUACCUAGCGAAUAAGCCCCGGCUAACUAUGUGCCAGCAGCCGCGGUAAUACAUAGGGGGCAAGCGUUAUCCGGAAUUAUUGGGCGUAAAGGGUGCGUAGGCGGUUAAAUAAGUUUAUGGUCUAAGUGCAAUGCUCAACAUUGUGAUGCUAUAAAAACUGUUUAGCUAGAGUAAGAUAGAGGCAAGUGGAAUUCCAUGUGUAGUGGUAAAAUGCGUAAAUAUAUGGAGGAACACCAGUAGCGAAGGCGGCUUGCUGGGUCUUUACUGACGCUGAGGCACGAAAGCGUGGGGAGCAAACAGGAUUAGAUACCCUGGUAGUCCACGCUGUAAACGAUGAGUACUAAACGUUGGGUAAAACCAGUGUUGAAGUUAACACAUUAAGUACUCCGCCUGAGUAGUACGUGCGCAAGUAUGAAACUUAAAGGAAUUGACGGGACUCCGCACAAGCGGUGGAUCAUGUUGUUUAAUUCGAAGGUACCCGAAAAACCUCACCAGGUCUUGACAUGCUUCUGCAAAGCUGUAGAAACACAGUGGAGGUUAUCAGUUGCACAGGUGGUGCAUGGUUGUCGUCAGCUCGUGUCGUGAGAUGUUGGGUUAAGUCCCGCAACGAGCGCAACCCUUAUUGUUAGUUACCAGCACGUAAUGGUGGGGACUUUAGCAAGACUGCCAGUGAUAAAUUGGAGGAAGGUGGGGACGACGUCAAAUCAUCAUGCCCCUUAUGACCUGGGCUACAAACGUGAUACAAUGGCUGUUACAAAGGGUAGCUGAAGCGCAAGUUUUUGGCGAAUCUCAAAAAAACAGUCUCAGUUCGGAUUGAAGUCUGCAACUCGACUUCAUGAAGUUGGAAUCGCUAGUAAUCGCGAAUCAGCAUGUCGCGGUGAAUACGUUCUCGGGGUUUGUACACACCGCCCGUCA